GUGUCUAGGUUGAUCUUUGAGCCGAUAGUAUGCUAUAGUAGAUAUUGGAUAUUUUGUUGGACUAACCCCUGUAGGAAAACUUUCAAUAUCGACCUGGGAAGUCCUGAGAUAAACUCACAUUGGAGACAAAGAGAGAGACACAUGAAGUUUAACAAUUUGCACGAGGAAGGCAUAGCUCACAAGAGAUGAUCCAUGGAGGGUGCCACAAACACGAUGCACAACCGCUAAGAGAGGAAAGCUUCCACAAGGUGAUACUGAACCAUCACUCUUCAAGUAAGGUAACAUCUUAAGGUACUUGACUAUCACUUUUAUAAGCUUCUCCUUGGUUCUGGCGUUCACAUGAAUAAAAGAGACAAACAUGUAUGAUUUACAAUUCUGGAUUAACCAACCCAAUCGAUUCAAUAUGUUUAGUCCUUUCACCUUUGUGAUCCCACACUAAAUGUUGCACACACAAUCUUUGGAAGAUAUAUAUAAAAAAAAGAGAUAAGUAUAGAUAGAUUAUCUUUCCAUUAGGUUGAGUGAUCUGAUCUGGCGAAUGUUUUAAAUGCUACACUCAUGAUCUUAUUAUCCAUCAACUUUGUCUUGCUCACUAUGCUUAAGGUUAGAGAAGAACAAAUACACUUUUGGUUCUGUUGGUGUUUUCCACCAACAGGGCCCAUGCACUUGAUCUCUGCCUUGUCUCUAUGAGCAUGUACACUUCGAGCAAAAUAUGAAGGAGUUUUACAACUCCCAGACUCCACCAAGUGAAGAACCUAGAUAUACGAGCACAAACACACUGGAGAUACUGGACACUAUGGCAAUCACUGCCCUGAGAUGCUUGAGGACGUAACUACUGGAGUAACCCCGCUGUGGAAGUAAUUACUGACCUUCUGCCGGUCAAGAGAGACAAUCCAGGACGCCCCGUCAUCCCGAUCUCUAUCGGCAUGGUGGACUUCCUAGAAGCACUCUACGACUUUGGCUCCAGUGUCAACAUUAUGCCCAGGGUACUCUAUGAAAAAAUCUUUACACAUCCUUUACUAGAAACAACCAUGUGUUUGCAGCUUGCAGAUCGUACGCUAAGUUUCCCAAAGGGAAUAUUGAAGAACCUCUGCGUCCGAGUUGGUACCUUGUACGCCCGAGCAGACUUCAUGGUGAUAGAGACUGGUACUGAUGAGAGGGCACCCAUCAUCCUAGGGAUGCCAUUCCUGAACACCUCGGGAGCUGUCAUCUACGCUAGUGCUGCCAAGAUCAGUUUCUACAUCAAGGGGAAGAAGGAGACGUUUUCCUUCAAGAAACAAGACUACACAAAUCCCAGAGCAAUCCCGACAUGAACCAAGGAAGAGGACCAACAGGAGGAACAGGAACAAGCAAAUGUGGACCAAGUCAGCAAAGAUUGUCACUGCAGUUCAAGGAGGUCAAGAUCGUCGACUUAAGUCACCGUUCCUAACCAAAAAGGACGACCCAAGUAUGCCAAGCAUCCAGUGCUCCAUUGAUGGAUACAACUUCUAGAAGAUGCUUUGCGACACCGGGUCAGGCGUCAACAUAAUGGCUGCAGUCACUUAUCAGCUCCUGCAUGGAACCAUGCCCCUACAACCGACAUACAUUCAGCUCCAGAUGGCAGAUCAGACAUUCCGUAAGGUUAUUGUCAUGGGAGAAGACGAGUACAAUCCACCCGUCAUCCUUGGAAGACCGUUCCUCAGCACCGUUAAAGCAAUCAUCUACAUUGGAACCGGAGAAGUCCACAUGAACUUCCCCUCUGAGAAGGUACGCCGCUAUUUUACUGACCCUAACUAUAUAGUUGAAGACUCUAAGCAGGUCAGGACAAGAAGACGACGACACAGCCACAACCAGAGGAGGCUAAUCAUCAAGGACGGAUGGGUAGACUACGAAGGAGAAGUGGUAAGAUCUGAAGACAUACAACUUGAACAGAACUGUCCUGAGGAGACCGUAGCACCGAGGCAGGUGUGGAGAAAGAAGACAGUUAUACAUGAAGAGUACACGCCGCCGGAACCACCGACUACGCCAUCCAGCAAAUCCCAGGACGACUGAGAAAACGGAGAGUCCCGUUCGGAGGACUUAAAAACACCGAACGCCUUGCCAAGAGGUAAACUUGGUAGUUAUCUUUUUCCUUUCAAUUAUUUUAAAAUAGUUUUCUUAGUUAAUAAAGUUCAUAUCAUCUUGAAAAGAAAAUAAAAAUGUAAAAAUAGUAAGCCCCAUGUGAGUAUGCUCAUGGCAUAAAACCCAUAAGUACAUUCACUGUGGUGGCAUAAAAAUAAAAUAAAUAUAUUCAUGUCCUAUAAAAAUAAAAUUAUAAAAAUAAAUUUAUGAUCCUACUAAAGAGAGUAACAUUUAUUGACGAGGCUCAACAUGAUAAAGGCUAGAUACUUAUGCUAACAAUUAACUAGUUCCACAAAGUUUUGUUGUCUAUUUGAGCUCCACAGAAUUCAAGGAUCAAAGAAGACUAGCAGACGGAGGACAUCCUAAUCGCUGUCAGGGUGUUGCCGACAUUCAAAUACACCUCCGCCACCUGCUAGUCACAUCAGAAGAAAUUACGUAAAAAUCCAGCUUGGGGGAGAGCACCCCCAUUUAUCCAGCUAAGUAUUCUACUCACGUUUAUACUUUACUCUAAUAAUAAAAAGAUGCAUAAUCAUAAAAACCUAAAUAAAGAUUUUGUGCUUAUAUAUAUAUCUUUGCUUAGCUUGCUAAAUAAAUAAAUAAAUAAAGUUUGCUAUGAACCCUCGUGAUAAGCUCUCAUAUGGAAAUGAUGAAUAGUUGCUCUACCAUGACUAGUUCUUAAAAUUGAAAUCUCUCUUAAGUUUAGGCAUGACUGUUAUUAAUUAAGAUUUGCUCUAGACCUGAACUUGUGGGAAGAGUACUCGAUCUGAAGUCUAAGUCGUUAACGGAUAUGAUAUGGGAAGGUUGAGCUGCUGUUUAUCUAUUCCUAGAGAUGCUAGAAUUCUGGAGAAUUUUAUCUUUGAAAAUCUUUAAAAUGUUGCAUGAUGAGUUCCUGUAUGAUGAGAGUUUAAAAUCCUACCACAGCCAUAUAUACAUGCUUGCUAGACUUUGAGCCACACAUUUACUUUUUACUGCUUAUGAGCAUUGAGUGUGGUCAAGCUGUGUAGACCCUUAGGAGCUUGUCAUGUGGUUAAAUCAAGAUUCACUUGCACGUUCACUCAUACAUGCUGCUUCUACUCUGGAAGUACGCAUCCACAUAUAUCCAACCAUUUCCAUCUCGAGAACCACCUAAAAAUAUUCUACUCCUAAUCCGAGAGAGAAUAACCAAAAAUAUUUCUGUUUUUCCCUGUGAAAUAAAUGCUCAAGUUAUCUUGUUACUACCACUUGCUAAAUUAUCUCAUGAGAUGAGUGCUCUAAAAAAAAAGAAAAAAAAAGAAAAAAAAGAGAAAAAAAUAUAUACGAGGAAAUAAAAAGGCGCAAGUGCCCGGAACCUCGAAGAAAAGAAAAAGUGAGACGAGAGGUAAAAAUGGAAAAGUGUCCGAUAGUAGAAUUAGGGGUACAAGAUACCCACCUGAGAGAAAAGAAAAAGAAAACAUAGAGCAUCUCAUUCUCCUCAAAAAGUUUCAAAAGUGCAAGAAAGGUAUGUAUCCCCUCAAAAGAGCAUAAGUAGAAUUAGACUUUCACCAUUGUUAUCACCAUCAUCACCAUACACCAUUCAUUCGCCACACAUGCACAUCUUGAUUUGACUUAUUGACUUGUUCUUUUGGAUCUAUGGUUUGACUAUGCAAUAAAUGUCUUGUAAGUAUGUAUUAGCUGUCUCCCACCUAUGAGCUCCAAAUAUCAAAAGCCUUAUUAGAGUAGGGUGAGAGAGAAGGCAAUGUCACUAUGCCUUAUACCACAAAUACCACAUACUUUGAGAGAAGGCAUAUACCAUUACUGCCUUGGUAAGGAUCCAGAAAUACCACAAAUGAGAGACUAGAGAGAGUCAUACAAGGAAUCUCUGAGUUUUAUUUGAAAAUCUGCAAAAACUCUAGAGCUAUAGUUAAUCGAAGAACAAGAGACAUGGCGCUUGACUAGACUGUUCUAUCUUUUAACUACUCAAGACAGAAGUGACGGUUACAAGUCCCAUGGUGAAAGGUAAAUGAGUAAGUUUUAAGUCUUAACAGUUUACUAUAACCAGCGAUGAGAUCUUGUUUAAACGCAUGUGUAUCAUUAAGUUAUGAAACCACUGCAGAAACUCUUGAGUUCAUCUUUGCUCAGGGACGAGCAAAGGUUAAGCUUGGGGGAGCUUGUUGACGGUCCUUAAUGCUCAUAUUUAACCAUCAACUAAUCAUAAAAAAGGAUCCAAAUGCAACCAACACCUAGACUUAGGGUUUUAUGUGACAGAAUUCCACAAGUUUUGGUGUUUGUCUAUUUCUGCAGGGGGUUAUCAGGAAAUACGGAAGAAAGGCCCACACGUCGGGUUUACAUAGAGAUAUUAACGUGCCGCGCAAUUUUCUAUCAUCUAGAAGACUCCAGAAGCCACGGGAACAAAGCGGAAGACGAGAGGCCUCAGGGACAGGGCGCCCGCCCUAGUCCUGAGGGCGCCCGCCCACCUGUUCUGCCCAAUCAGGGUACAACUCGGGGAUCAUGCUCCACCGACCUAAUACUUCAAGGGAAACCACACGAUCAAUGUCGGUUUGAUCCGACGGCCCAGAUUUACUUGAAGGGACUAUAAAACCAGACCCCCCCUGGCCCCUGGAGAUCAUACCUCUUCUACAGAAUCAAAGCUAGGGUUUCAAUUCUUCAUCCAAGUAGAGAGGAUCCCUCUAGUUCUUCUAGUUCUACCUCUAGUUCAUCUAGAUCUAGUUCUAGUUCAUCUAGUUCUAGUUCUAGUUCCUCUAGUUCUAGUUCUAGUUAGUUCUAGUUGUAAUCUAGAAAAUAGGGAGAGAGAAGAGGAGAGCGGAGGAGGAGCCGGAUCUGUCGGAUCUUCCUCAACAUUAUACUUUUGCAGCAUCUGGUUCGUUCUUCAUCGUUCUCCAGGUUCUUCAAUUCAUAAUUCCUGAGUUCUUUAAUUACUUUUAUUUACAUUCAAGUUAUUUAUUGGAUUCCCGCUUGCAUCAAGUGCUCUAGUCUUUAUAACGCUAGAGUAGUAAUUAAUAGAUUAGACGUGGUGUUUAGUCUUGCAAUUACCUGGAAUUGCACCCAAUCCUACGGAUUGUUGUGGUAGCCCUAGGGUAGUGACAUCCCUAACGGUCGACGUAUUCCACCAUGUUCGGAUCGGUGUUUGUAGGACCGUAGUCAGACCUUCCUAGCCCCCUUCUCAUCUCUUUCUGUGGUUAGUGCUCUGAUGUCCCGAUAUAGAUAAUCUUGAAGUAAUUCUUGAUUCUUAGAUCAACUAGAGAACUCUCAGGAAACUUCCUCUCUUCCAACCAAAAAUAAUUAUAUAGUUAUCCUUGGGCGAUCUUGGAUCUUAAUUAGUACACUCACGUUCCCUGUGGAAAAUCGAUACUCUGGAAUACUCCCGGGUGAAGGCUACAUCGGUAUCCGUGCGCUUGCGGAUUUUUCUGUUUGCGUUUAAAAUACCCAACACAUGCUUGGUCCUCCUCCAUCUUCUAUUGUUUCUAUUGUUCUUCUUCUUCGGCAUUGGUUGUUGUUCUUGCUCUUCUUGUUGAUAGAAUUCCUUUGGGGCUGCAGGAGCUUUCAAGAUGCGGUUCUUGAAUGCGAAUCUCUCCUUCUUGUCCUUGAUGGAUAGGACAAUCUUGGCGUACUCCGUAUAGAUGAUGGCUUUUGUCGUGCACAAGAAUGGUCUGCCCAAAAUGACGGGUGCCUUCUCAUCUACUCCUGUCUCUAUGACCACGAAGUCAACUGGGACAUAUGAUUGCCCCACUCUAAUGACAACUUCUUCUACUACUCCCUCAAGGUAGCAAACGGACUAAUCUGCAAGCUGCAAACACAUAUUUGUGUAUAACAAGGGAUCAUUUAAUAUUUUCUCAUAAAUUUCCUUAGGCAUGAUGUUGACACUUGCGCCAAAGUCACAGAUAGCCUCUGGAAAGCUAUGGCAUCCUAUGGAGAUAGGAAUGACAGGUCUUCCAAGGUCUCCCAUCUUCUCUGGUAGAGAGUGGUCAAUCCACUGUACAGCUGCUGGCUCAAUAUGAUAUUGGGUUGCAAUAUGAAUAUCAACAAGAUUAGUAGUUUCUAAAUCUUCUGGUUAGCCUGGAACCUUGCCUUUUUCUAAUGGAGGAACAGCAGCAGCUAAUUGAGCUAGUUGUGAUUCUAGCAUUUUAUUGAAACUAUGCUGAUUCUUUAUGGAAGAAGCAAAAGUAUCCAUCCUAGUAUGUAGUUUUCCAAAGUUUUAUCAUUUGAUGUUAGUUUCCUAGUCAUUUGAUCUAGUAGUUUAGAUUGACUAGUAACUAAUUCUCUCAAAGGUGGAAGAUUAUUAUUAAAACUAUUACCUUGGUAAUUACCUUGUCGAGGUUGUUGGUUCCAUCCUUGAUUUUGUUGAGGACGAUAGUAGGUGUUAUUGUUGAUGAAGUUCACAUCCUCUUGUAGUAUAGGGAAACUGACAGCUGAGUGACCGUAGUCUCCACAUUCUUCACAUGUCAUAUGGGAAUCAUUGAUGUGCAUGACUUCCUUCUUCUCUAUGUCGAGCUUCUUUAUGAUGAGGUCUAGCUUGGUAGUGACCAUGUCAGCUUCCUUGAGAUGAUGGAUUCCUCCUCCUUUCUUCCGAGGUUGAGUAUGUACUUCAUUGCAUGUUGAAUUUGAGGUCAUCUUCUCAACAAGUGCUUUAGCGUCCGAGAGCUUAAGUGACAGGAAAGCUCCCCCAGCUGCAGCAUCAAUAGACUCACGGGUACUAGAGAUGAGCCCGUGACAGAAAGUCUGCAUUAAUAGCCACUCCUCUAUCCCAUGAUGAGGACAGUCUUCAAUGUAAUUCUAGAAUCUUUCUCAUGCUUCAGUAAAUGAUUCAUCAUAUUGUUGUUGGAAACUUAAAAUCUUCCCACGCAGAGCAUUAGUCUUGGCUGUAGGAAAGAAUUUUGCCAGGAAAGCAGUUGAGCAAAGAUCCCAUGUAUUGUGUUUUUCUUUGUUGGUGUAGAACCACUGCUUGGCUUUCCCCAAUAAUGAGAACAGGAAAAGACAAAGUAAGAUAGCAUCCUUUGGUACUCCUAUGAUCGUGAAGGUGUUGCAAAUCUCUAGAAAGUGUUGUAAGUGUGCACUUGCAUCUUUAUGAGCUUUUCCACAGAAUUGGUUGGCUUGAACCAUGGUAAUGAGAGCAGGCUUGAGCUCGAAUCCAUUCUCCCCAGUGUUGAGUAAUGGUCCAGUCUGAAUGUUUGCUGUUGUUCGGGCAGAGAACCCUCGUAGUGUCUUCUCAGCCAUGUCUUCAAACACAGGAGCUAGAUUUCCACCUAACUGCUCUUCUGCUUGUUCUUCUAUUUGUUCUUCAAAUUCCUCUUCCAAUGUUGGAGAUGGCUCCUCUGAAAAGCUAGCUUGAGCAGCAGAGGGUGUUCUUGAUGGUUAUUCGAAUUUGUCGCUUGCUUCUACAAACUUCUUCUUUCUAAGGAGUUUCUCUGGAUCUUCAGUAAAGUUUCUUGGAAGAGCAAAACCAUUCAUUCAUCACCCUACAUAAGAUAAGAAAAUGGUAACGACGAAGAGUGUACCUGAUUGAGUAGAAAUUUAUUAGUAAUAUGACAUUAUCCAUACAUAUAUAUGUUAUCAAUAUAUCCUAAGUUUAUUGUGCUUUCCCCGGCAACGGCGCCAAAAAUGCUUGUUUACAUUUACUACCGUCAUUACUAAAAAUAGAGAUAAACCCUACCCCUAGCAACAACACCAGAAAUGCACGGUAUAUAAUUAACUUGUCAAAUAGCAACUAACCAUUCUACUAUUCCUAAGCAUAAAGUAGGUUGUCAUCCCUAAUUAUAUUGCUAGGAGUUUAAUAUAGAUUCACAUGUUCUACUGCAACUAGACAGAGAAUAAAAAAUAUGAAUAUAAUUAUAAACUAAAUGAGUUCUACAAGCGGACAGAUAAUUAUACCGUUGUAGCAUUUUACCUAGGGAAGUAUCCAGGUUGUCGAUUUAUAUUUAUACCACUAGGAAGGAUAAAUGUUAAACUAUAAUCUAUAAUAUUGAUAAGAAACUAUACAGGAUGAAUAAAUGAUAUUAUCCAAGUCAUAUAAUCUACUCAUAACAGGCAGAGGUCACAAGAUAAAUAAAGAUAAAUAAUAGUGAUAGCUUAAUCAUCAAGUAUCAUAAUUAAAGAUAAUCAUUAGAGCAUCUACUAGUCAUAAUUAUAGUUAGCCAAUGGAUAAACUAGGGAGUUGGAUCUAAGGUAAUUCUAUAACUACGCCAAUGAACAACUCUAAUUAGUGCAAUUACAUCUAGAAAUCAUCGUUAAGUCAACCCUAUAUCAUAAUUACAUGUAAAGAGUCAUGAACUAAUGAGGAUAUUAAGACACAAGGGUCACCUCCUUCACGAUCGCGCCCAUGCUUGUCCUACGUACGGAGGGUGGACUACAGAGAAUCCAAUGUAGUUGUCACCUACGCGGUCUACCACAUGUCCCGACACGUCAGGGUACACUCGUAGAUAAAUAAGAUAUUUAGACAUCAAGUCUACAUGUUGUCUAUCAUCUACCCAAUGAUCAAUUAGGUAAACACUAUAUGAGCAAUUACAUGAGUUCAAUAAGAUCAAACCCACUAUCCUAGACAUAUAAUCAAAGUAGAAAAUGACUAAUGCAAUUAAGAACAUAUGAAUCUAUUAAGAAUAAAGUCUUCCUAAUAUACAAUUGAAUACUAUAAAGUAAGAACUAGAUCUAUUACCGAACUAUUGCGCUCCAGACCGACGCCAAGGGCUCCAGAUCCCGAUAAACAACUAGAUCUUCUCUACUUCUAAUCUAACUAACUAGAACUAUAAACUAGAAGGCUCUUGAUGAACUUAAAGGCGCUUGAUGCUUGACGGCUUGAGGCCUUGAUGAAUAAUGAAGUGGUUCUCUCUAGGGGUCUACCAUGUAUUUAUAGUCCGGUGGGAUGCGUGUGCGCCGUGGGAUUGUUGACGGUCAUUAAUGCUCACAUUUAACCAUCAACUAAUCAUAGAAAAGGAUCCAAAUGCAACCAACACCUAGAAUUAGGGUUUUAUCUGACAGAAUUCCAUGAGUUUUGGUGUUUGUCUAUUUCUGAAGGGGGUUAUCAGGAAAUACGGAAGAAAGGCCCACACGUCGGGUUUACAUAGAGAUAUUAACGUGCCGCGCAAUUUUCUACCAUCUAGAAGACUCCAGAAGCCACGGGAACGAACGGGAGGCCGAUCGGGCCCGGGGGCAGGGCGCCCGCCCAAGUCCCUUGGGUGCCCGCCCAGCUACAGUAACCAAUCAGCUUCAACUUCGCGGAUCGUGCUCCACCAACCUAAGGGACCAAGGAAAACCGUGCGAUUAAUGUCGGUUUGAUCCGACGGCCUAGAUUCAUCUGAAAAGACUAUAUAAGCAAGGCCCCCUGGACCCUGGAGAGCAUACCUCUUCUACAGAAUCAAAGCUAGGAUUUCAAUUCUUCAUCCAAGUAGAGAGGAUCCCUCUAGUUCUUCUAGUUCUACCUCUAGUUCAUCUAGUUCUAGUUCUAGUUCAUCUAGCUCUAGUUCUAGUUCCUCUAGUUCUAGUUCUAGUUAGUUCUAGUUGUAAUCUAGAAAAUAGGGAGAGAGAAGAGGAGAGCGGAGGAGGAGCCGAAUCUGUCGGAUCUUCCUCACAUUAUACUUUUGCAGCAUCUGGUUCGUUCUUCAUCGUUCUCCAGGUUCUUCAAUUCAUAAUUCCUGAGUUCUUUAAUUACUUUUAUUUACAUUCAAGUUAUUUAUUGGAUUCCCGCUUGCAUCAAGUGCUCUAGUCUUUAUAACGCUAGAGUAGUAAUUAAUAGAUUAGACGUGGUGUUUAGUCUUGCAAUUACCUGGAAUUGCACCCAAUCCUACGGAUUGUUGUGGUAGCCUUAGGGUAGUGACAGCCCUAAUGGUCGACGUAUUCCACCACGUUCGGAUCGGUGUUUGUAGGACCGUAGUCAGACCUUCCUAGCCCCCUUCUCAUCUCUUUCUGUGGUUAGUGCUCUGAUGUCCCGAUAUAGAUAAUCUUGAAGUAAUUCUUGAUUCUUAGAUCAACUAGAGAACUCUCAGGAAACUUCCUCUCUUCCUACCAAAAAUAAUUAUAUAGUUAUCCUUGGGCGAUCUUGAUUCUUAAUUAGUACACUCACGUUCUCUGUGGAAAAUCGAUACUCUGGAAUACUCCCGGGUGAAAGCUACCUCGGUAUCCGUGCGCUUGCGGAUUUUUCUGUUUGCGUUUAAAAUACCCAACAAGCUUUCUGGCGUCGUUGCCGGGGAACGGUAGCUGUGCUAGUUUCGAACCAAGUCGUCCGUGUAUCCUUUUUCUUUUCCUUUUUCACCACACUCACCUUACCAUUUUCACCACACCACAUGGAUUUCACUCUAAGCAUUAAUGAGCAUGGAAUUUAUUUCAUAGCCACUUCACUUACUCCAUGCUCGUAUGCAACAUCUUCACAAUCCAUUGGUCUCUCCAACAUCACCACAUUCGAGAUGUCCAACCCCCUCAUCCUUUCUAGUUAUAAAAACUUUAAAAGGGCGGUUGUCGAUGCAUAUGUCUAUAAUAAAUUUUGCAGAUCUCGUUGAGUUGAUCUUGAUAUAGGUCAGUGUUGGAGGGGAAACCACUUCACUGACAUAAAUUAAUGGUUUCCCAAGGACAAGCUUAGUGUCCUAAAACAAGCACUGAUCAGAUCGUAACAUGAGAUUUUAAUUAUUUGCAACAUUACCUUGUGUAUUGAGCAUAUAAGGAUAAUUGUAAAAAAUUCCUUCGGGUAUUCUUGUCACUAACCUUUCCAGGAUUGGAGCAAGAAGAUCGGAUGAAUGACAAGCACAAGAUAUGUCCAACCAAUCAUCAUACAACAUUGAAUUAAACUCAUCCAAACUUGAAUUUUGCAAAAUUCAAGCUUGGGGGAGUACUUUACAUAAAAACAUCCUUUGCCAUGUUGCUAUGAUGGUUGUCCCUACCUUUGAGACAUGCUCAAUUUGUUAAAUACUAAUCACACUACUUCAUCUCCACUUGAGUAGAUCUCUAUAAAUGCUCUCAUGCUACCUUUAUUUCUUUAGCAUAUGUCUAGGUUUGGCGUAGUUUCAUUUAUCUCUUAAUUAAGCAUGGUGCUUAGUUUAGGAAUGAUGAUCUUACUUCCAAGGGAGUUUAAAUUAAGCAUGAUGCUUAGGUUAAAAUGCCCUCCUAAAUCAAAUUAGACAUGGUGUCUAGGUUGAUUUUUGAGCCGAUAGUAUGCUAUAGCAGAUAUGGGAUAUUUUGUUGGACUAACCCCUGCAGAAAAACUUUCAAUAUCAACCUGGGAGGUCCUGAGAUAAACUCACAUUAGAGACAAAGAGAGACACACAUGAAGUUUAACAAUUUACACAAGGAAGGCAUAGCUCACAAGAGAUGAUCCAUGGAGGGUGCCACAAACACAAUGCACAACCGCUAAGAGAGGAAAGCUUCCACAAGGUGAUACUGUACCAUCACUCUUCAAGUAAGGUAACAUCUUAAAGUACUUGACUAUCAGUUCUAUAAGAUUCUCCUUGGUUCUGGCGUUCACAUGAAUAAAAGAGACAAACAUCUAUGAUUUACAACUCUAGAUUAACCAACCCAAUCGAUUCAAUAUGUUUAGUCCUUCCACCUUUGUGAUCCCGCACUCCUAAUCAUAUGAACUAAAAUGUCACACACGCAUUCUUUGGAAGAUAUAUAAAAAAAGAUAAGUAUAGAUAGAUUAUCUUUCCAUUAGGUUGAGCCAUCUGAUCUGACAAAUGCUUUAAAUGCCACACUCAUGAUCUUAUUAUCCAUCAACUUUGUCUUGCUCACUAUGCUUAAGGUUAGAGAAGAACAAAUACACUUUUGGUUCUGUUGGUGUUUUCCACCAACAGGGCCCAUGCACUUGAUCUCUGCCUUGUCUCUAUGAGCAGGUACACUUCGAGCAAAAUAUGAAGGAGUUUUACAACUUCCAGACUGCACCAAGUGAAGAACCUAGAUAUACGAGCACAAACACACUAGAGAUACUGGACACUCAUGCAAUCACUGUCCUGAGAUGCUGGAGGACGUAACUACCGGAGUAACCCCGUUGUGGAAGUAAUUACUGACCUUCUGUCGGUCAAGAGAGGCGAUCCAGGACGCCCCGUCAUCCCGAUCUCCAUCGACAUGGAGGACUUCCUAGAAGCACUCUACGACUUUGGCUCCAGCGUCAACAUUAUGCUCACGGUACUCUAUGAAAAAUUCUUUACACAUCCUUUACUAGAAACAACCGUGUGUUUGAAGCUUGCAGAUCAGACACUAAGUUUCCAAAAGGGAAUAUUGAAGAACCUCUACGUCCGAGUUGGUACCUUAUACACUCUAGCAGACUUCGUGGUGAUAGAGACUGGUACUGAUGAGAGGGCACCCAUCAUCCUAGGGAGGCCAUUCCUGAACACCUCGGGAGCUGUCAUCUACGCUAGUGCUGCCAAGAUCAGUUUCUACAUCAAGGGAAGGAAGGAGACGUUUUCCUUCAAGAACAAGACUACACAAAUCUCAAAGCAAUCGUGACAUGAACCAAGGAAAGGACCAACAGGAGGAACAGGAACAAGCAAAUGUGGACCGAGUCAGCUAAGAUGGUCACUGCUGUUCAAGGAGGUCAAGAUCGUCAACUCAAGUCGCCUUUGUUGAUCAAGAAGGAUGACCAUGGUGUUCCAAGCAUCGAGUGCACAAUCAACAGAUAUUUUUUCAUAAGACACUCUACGACACCGGAUCUGACGUCCACAUAAUGGCCGCAGUCACUUAUCAGCUCUUGCAUGAAACCAUGCCCCUACAACCGACAUACAUUCAGCUCCAGAUGGCAGAUCAGACAUUCCGUCAGGUUAUUGUCAUGGGAGAAGACGAGUACAAUCCACCCGUCAUCCUUGGAAGACCAUUCCUCAGCACCGUUAAAGCAAUCAUAUACAUUGGAACCAGAGAAGUCCACAUGAACUUCCCCUCUGAGAAGGUACGCCGCUAUUUUACUGACCCUAACUAUAUAGUUGAAGACUCUAAGCAGGUCAGGACAAGAAGAAGACGACGCAACCGCAACCAGAGGAGGCAAAUCAUCAAGGAUGGAUGAGCAGACUCCGAAGGAGAAGUAGUAAGGUCUGAAGACAUAUAGCUUGAUCAGAAUUGUCCUGAGGAGACCGUAGCACCGAGUCAGGUGUGGAGAGAGAAGAUAGUUAUACAUGAAGAGCAGGCGCCGCCGGAACCACCGACUACGCCAUCCAGCGAAUCCCAGGACGACUGAGAAAACAGAGAGUCCCGUUCGGAGGACUUAAAAAAACCGAACGCCUUGCCAAGAGGUAAACUUGGUAGUUAUCUUUUUCCUUUCAAUUAUUUUAAAAUAGUUUGCUUAGUUAAUCAGGUUCAUAUCAUCUUGAAAAGAAAAUAAAAAUGUUAAAAAUAGUAAGUCCCAUGUGAGUAUGCUCAUGGCAUAAAACCCAUAAGUACAUUCACUGUGGUGGCAUAAAAAUAAAAUAAAUAUAUUCCUGUCCUAUAAAAAUAAAAUUAUAAAAAUAAAUUUAUGAUCCUACUAAAGAGUGUAACAUUUAUUGAGGAGGCUCAACAUGAUAAAGGCUAGAUAUUUAUGCUAACACUUAACUAGUUCCACAAAGCUUUAUUGUCUAUUUAAGCUCCACAGCAUUCAAGGAUCAAAGAAGACUAGCAGACGGAGGACAUCCUAAUCGCUGCGAGGGUGCUCUCGACAUUCAAAUACACCUCCGCCACCUGCUAGCUACAUCAAGAGAAAUUAUGUCGAAAACCAGCUUGGGGGAGAGCACCCCUAUUUAUCCAGCUAAGUAUUCUACUCACGUUUAUACUUUACUCAAAUAAUAAAAAGAUGCAUAAUCAUAAAAACCCAAAUAAAGAUUUUGUGCUUAUAUAUCUUUGCUUAGUUUGCUAAAUAAAUGAAUAAAUAAAGUUUGUUAUGAACCCUCAUGAUAAGCUCUCACAUGAAAAUGAUGAAUAGUUGCUCUGCCAUGACUAGUUCUCAAAAUUGAAAUCUCUCUCAAGUUUAGGCAUGACUGUUAUUAAUUAAGAUUUGCUCUAAACCUAACUUGUGGGAAGAGUACUUGAUCUAAAGUCUAAGUCGUUAACGGAUAUGAUAUGGGAAGGUUGAGUUGUUGUUUAUCUGUUCCUAGAGAUGCUAGAAUUCUAGAGAAUUUUAUCUUUGAAAAUCUUUAAAAUGUUGCAUGAUGAGUUCCUGUAUGAUGAGAGUUUAAAUUCCUACCACAGCCAUAUAUACAUGCUUGCUAGACUUUGAGCCACACAUUUACAUUUUACUGCUUAUGAGCAUUGAGUGUGGUCAAGCUGUGUAGACCCUUAGGAUCUUGUCAUGUGGUUAAAUCAAGAUUCACUUGCACGUUCACUCAUACAUGCUGCUUCUACCUGGAAGUACGCAUCCACAUAUAUCCACCCAUCACCCAUACAUGCUGCUUCUACCCAGAAGUACGCAUCCACAUAUAUCCACCCAUUUCCAUCUCCAGAAUCACCUAAAAAUAUUCUACUCCUAAUCCGGGAGAGAAUAGCCAAAAACAUUUCUGUUUUCAGCUGUGAAAUAAAUGCUCAAGUUAUCUUGGUUACGACCACUUGCUACAUUAUUUCAACAGAUGAGUGCUCUAAAAAAAGAAAAAAAAGAUACGAGGAAAUAAAAAGGGGCAAGUGCCCGGAACCUCGAAAGAAAAGAAAAAAGUGAGACGAGAGGUAAAAAUGGAUAAGUGUCCGACAGUAGAAUUAGGGGUACAAGAUACCCACCUAAGAGGAAAGAAAAAGAAAAUAUAGAGCAUCUCAUUCUCCUCAAAAAGUUUCAAAAGUGCAAGAAAGGUAUGUAUCCCCUCAAAAGAGCACAAGUAGAAUUAGACUUUCACCAUUGUUAUCACCAUACAUCAUUCAUUCUCCACACAUGCACAUCUUGAUUUAACUUAUUGACUUGUUCUUCUGGAUCCAUGGUUUGACUAUGCAAUAAAUGUCUUGUAAGUAUGUAUUAGCUGUCUCCCACCUAUAAGCUCCAGAUAUCAAAACCUUAUUAGAGUAGGGUGAGAGAGAAGGCAUUGCCACUAUGCCUCAUACCAAAAAUACCACAUACUUUGAGAGAAGGCAUACACCAUUACUGCCUUGGUAAGGAUCCAGAAAUACCACAAAAGAGAGACUAGAGAGAGUCAUACAAGGAAUCUCUGAGUUUUAUUUGAAAAACUGCAAAAACUCCAGAGCUAUAGUUAAUCGAAGAACAUGAGACAUGGCGCUUGACUAGACCAUUCUAUCUUGUAACUACUCAAGACACAAGUGACGGUUGCAAGCCCCAUGGUGGAAGGUAAAAUGAGUAAGUUUAAAUCUUAACAGUUUACCCAAACCUAGAGAUGAGAUCUUAUUUGAACGCAUGUGUAUCUUUAAGGCGUGAAACCACUGCAGAAACUCUUGAGUCCAUCUUUGCUCAGGGACGAGCAAAGGUUAAGCUUGGGGGAGCUUGUUGACGGUCCUUAAUGCUCACAUUUAACCAUCAACUAAUCAUAGAAAAGGAUCCAAAUGCAACCAACACCUAGACUUAGGGUUUUAUCUGACAGAAUUCCAUGAGUUUUGGUGUUUGUCUAUUUCUGCAGGGGGUUAUCAAGAAAUACGGAGGAAAGGCCCACACGUCGGGUUUACAUAGAGAUAUUAAUGUGCCGCGCAAUUUUCUACCAUCUAGAAGACUCCAGAAGCCACGGGAACGAACGGGAGGCCGAUCGGGCCCGGGGGCAGGGUGCCCGCCCAAGUCCCUUGGGUGCCCGCCCAGCUACAGUAACCAAUCAGCUUCAACUUCGCGGAUCGUGCUCCACCGACCUAAGGGACCAUGGAAAACCGUGCGAUUAAUGUCGGUUUGAUCCGAUGACAUAGAUUCAUCUGAAAAGACUAUAUAAGCAAGGCCCCUGGCCCCUGGAGAGCAUACCUCUUCUACAGAAUCAAAGCUAGGGUUUCAAUUCUUCAUCCAAGUAGAGAGCAUCCCUCUAGUUCUUCUAGUUCUACCUCUAGUUCAUCUAGUUCUAGUUCUAGUUCAUCUAGCUCUAGUUCUAGUUCCUCUAGUUCUAGUUCUAGUUAGUUCUAGUUGUAAUCUAGAAAAUAGGGAGAGAGAAGAGGAGAGCGGAGGAGGAGCCGAAUCUGUCAGAUCUUCCUCACUUUAUACUUUUGCAGCAUCUGGUUCGUUCUUCAUCGUUCUCCAGGUUCUUCAAUUUAUAAUUCCUGAGUUCUUUAAUUACUUUUAUUUACAUUCAAGUUAUUUAUUGGAUUCCCGCUUGCAUCAAGUGCUCUAGUCUUUAUAACGCUAGAGUAGUAAUUAAUAGAUUAGACGUGGUGUUUAGUCUUGCAAUUAUCUGGAAUUGCACCCAAUCCUACGGAUUGUUGUGGUAGCCUUAGGGUAGUGACAUCCCUAACGGUCGACAUAUUCCACCACGUUCGGAUCGGUGUUUGUAGGACCGUAGUCAGACCUUCCUAGCCCCCUUCUCAUCUCUUUCUGUGGUUAGUGCUCUGAUGUCCCGAUAUAGAUAAUCUUGAAGUAAUUCUUGAUUCUUAGAUCAACUAGAGAACUCUCAGGAAACUUCCUCUCUUCCUACCAAAAAUAAUUAUAUAGUUAUCCUUGGGCGAUCUUGAUUCUUAAUUAGUAUACUCACGUUCUCUGUGGAAAAUCGAUACUCUGGAAUACUCCCGGAUGAAAGCUACAUCGGUAUCCGUGCGCUUGCGAAUUUUUCUAUUUGCGUUUAAAAUACCCAACAGGGAUCAAACCGACUUAACCAAGGGCCG
This 16737-nucleotide long non-coding RNA is filed under the name Sorghum bicolor (sorghum). RNAcentral describes it as "long non-coding RNA (SBIC_LNC001255)". The stretch from base 6815 to 6923 matches the Rfam family "Plant small nucleolar RNA R71". The record is from RNAcentral. Lineage: Eukaryota; Viridiplantae; Streptophyta; Magnoliopsida; Poales; Poaceae.